RNAcentral lists this ribosomal RNA (776 nucleotides) under uncultured Neocallimastigales. RNAcentral describes it as "partial large subunit ribosomal RNA". It matches the Rfam family "Eukaryotic large subunit ribosomal RNA", at positions 24 to 616 of the family's 3401-position model. Lineage: Eukaryota; Fungi; Neocallimastigomycota; Neocallimastigomycetes; Neocallimastigales. The record is from RNAcentral.
GUAGUCUCGCACAGAUGCAUAUCAAUAAGCGGAGGAAAAGAAACUAACAAGGAUUCCCCUUAGUAACGGCGAGUGAAGCGGGAAGAGCUCAAAUUUGAAAUCUUCAAGGGUUUACCUUUACGAAUUGUAGUUUAAAGAAGUGUUUUCUGUUGAGGUUUUGGUAAAAGUUCUUUGGAAUAGGACAUCAUAGAGGGUGAGAAUCCCGUAUUUGACCAUUACUUUCAACUUUGUGAUACACUUUCAAAGAGUCGGAUUGUUUGGGAAUGCAGUCCAAAAUGGGUGGUAAAUUUCAUCUAAAGCUAAAUAUUGGCGAGAGACCGAUAGCGAACAAGUACCGUGAGGGAAAGAUGAAAAGAACUUUGAAAAGAGAGUUAAACAGUACGUGAAAUUGUCAAAAGGGAAGCGUUUGACACCAGUGUUGUUUUUCUCGAAAAUCAAUUAAAAAGAGUUAGAUUUUGUUGUGUAUUGACCUUAACAGCUUGCAUUUCAAUUUUCUUGCUUUUUUUAAUGCACUUUUCGUUUAACAAGUCAACAUCAGUUUCUUUUGUUGUAAAAAGGUCAUUGGAAGGUGGCUUUCUUUUCGGAGAAAGUGUUUAUAGCCUUUGACUCCUGCAAUCGGAGAGACUGAGGUCUGCAGCGUAGAUCCUUCGGGGUUAGAUACAUUUGUGCUAAGUUAUAGCUUUUUAUAGACAACUUGUUGACUAUGAUUAGUCUUGUAGCUUACUCGCUUAUGCUAUUUUACCUACGCUUAGGAUGUUGAGCGCAUGUCUCUCUCU